This 73-nucleotide transfer RNA is filed under the name Camelus bactrianus (Bactrian camel). It matches the Rfam family "tRNA". From Rfam's summary of the family: Transfer RNA (tRNA) molecules are approximately 80 nucleotides in length. Their secondary structure includes four short double-helical elements and three loops (D, anti-codon, and T loops). Further hydrogen bonds mediate the characteristic L-shaped molecular structure. tRNAs have two regions of fundamental functional importance: the anti-codon, which is responsible for specific mRNA codon recognition, and the 3' end, to which the tRNAs corresponding amino acid is attached (by aminoacyl-tRNA synthetases). tRNAs cope with the degeneracy of the genetic code in two manners: having more than one tRNA (with a specific anti-codon) for a particular amino acid; and 'wobble' base-pairing, i.e. permitting non-standard base-pairing at the 3rd anti-codon position. The record is from Rfam by way of RNAcentral. RNAcentral also lists the same sequence under 2 other names. Lineage: Eukaryota; Metazoa; Chordata; Mammalia; Artiodactyla; Camelidae.
GAAGGUAUAGCUUGAGUGGCAGAACACAUGCUUAGGAUGCAUGAAGUCCUGGGUUCAAUCCCCAGUACCUCCU